This is a small nuclear RNA of Nycticebus coucang (slow loris), 136 nucleotides long. RefSeq annotates it as U4 spliceosomal RNA. The transcript has a single exon. NCBI's taxonomy places the organism in Eukaryota, Metazoa, Chordata, Mammalia, Primates, Lorisidae. The record is from RefSeq and is a predicted model, not a curated record.
AGCUUUGCCCAGUGGCAGUAACAUAGCCAAUGAGGUUUAUCCAAGGCACAAUUGUUAAUUGAAAACUAUUCCCAAUAACCUGCUCUGACAAUUUGUAAUAUAUCUGGCAUUGGAAUUUUUGAUGGUCUCUACAGAC